RNAcentral lists this long non-coding RNA (282 nucleotides) under Lathyrus oleraceus (garden pea). Its description in RNAcentral is "Pisum sativum (pea) long non-coding RNA (PSAT_LNC006336)". Lineage: Eukaryota; Viridiplantae; Streptophyta; Magnoliopsida; Fabales; Fabaceae. The record is from RNAcentral.
CCGGAACACUUUCUUCAAGACUUCCGGUUUGGAUGAUGUAUACCGGAACUCUUCUUUGAAGUGUUCCGGUACGUAAUUUUUUUUUUUUUUUUUUUUAAUUUUAAUUAUUUUUUUUAACAUUAUUUUUGCAGUGGUUCGAAGAAGAGGUGCAGAUGGCCGGAUUCCAGUCCGCACGUUAGACCGGGGUGCAUCUUCAUCUGCAGCUGCAGCUGAGCCGACUGGAUAUCCAGGAGGGCCGUACGAUACGUCUCUUUUGGUGAAGUACGAGCAUCAUGUUGCUCG